GGUGGUUCUCGGGUGACGCACCCUGGAAUCGGGCUCCCUCCUCUCUGGUUCCAGGUACAUUACCUGAGAAAUACA
This is a non-coding RNA of Myotis brandtii (Brandt's bat), 75 nucleotides long. NCBI's taxonomy places the organism in Eukaryota, Metazoa, Chordata, Mammalia, Chiroptera, Vespertilionidae. The record is from Rfam.